Molecule: ribosomal RNA, 303 nt
Filed under: uncultured bacterium
Lineage: Bacteria
Description: partial 16S ribosomal RNA
Rfam family: Bacterial small subunit ribosomal RNA
Source: RNAcentral
AGCAGUAGCCGCGGGAAUACGGAGGGUGCAAGCGUUAAUCGGAAUUACUGGGCAUAAAGCGCACGCAGGCGGUCUGACAAGUCAGAUGUGAAAUCCCCGGGCUUAACCUGGGAACUGCAUUUGAAACUGUCAGGCUGGAGUCUUGUAGAGGGGGGUGGAAUUCCAGGUGUAGCGGUGAAAUGCGUAGAGAUCUGGAGGAAUACCGGUGGCGAAGGCGGCCCCCUGGACAAAGACUGACGCUCAGGUGCGAAAGCGUGGGGAGCAAACAGGAUUAGAGACCCCAGUAGUCCCUGUCUCUUAUAC